This 858-nucleotide long non-coding RNA is filed under the name Homo sapiens (human). RNAcentral describes it as "non-protein coding lnc-SWT1-5:1". Lineage: Eukaryota; Metazoa; Chordata; Mammalia; Primates; Hominidae. The record is from RNAcentral.
ACACAGAUGAGAAAGAACCAGCACAAGAGUUCUGGCAACUGUAACAGUCAGAGUGUCUUCUUACCUCCAAAUGACCACACUAACUACCCAGAUAUGGUUCUUAACAGCCACAGUUCUGGUUCUUACUACCAGCCUUUCCUUGCUAGGGACCAUCUUUCCUUAGUUUAGAGUUUCUCAUGGUAACUAUACAUUAAGGAGCUUAUUUAUACUCAUUAAUGAUUUAGUCUACGUGGAUGCUGGUUCAUCUGAGAUAGAUAGAUAGAUAGAUAGAUAGAUAGAUAGAUGUCAAGUUCAGUAGUAGUUAUGGAACCACUCUCACUGGGUUAACAAGAAUUAUAAGCCAGGCUUUAGACAGAAUUAUAGUUAGGCAUCAUUCAGAGUGCACUGGUGCACUUUGACUCACUUCUCUGCAGCUGCUGAGAGUCAUUUAGGAUGCUGGCCACCUGGUACCUGCUCCCCCAUUGUGCCUGUAGAUAGAAUUUCUGAUGUUAGAAUGAUAGGAGCUUCUUGCUCAAGAGCUUACGGCGUUUUCAAAUUCCAGCAGGUCUGAGGCCAACCAGUGUGAAGAUCCCCCACCCACCCAGAAACAGACUUAGAACAAAAAAUGUAGUUUCUUCAUCUCCCUGUCCCAAGGUAUCACUCUGAGCUUCUCGUCUAAUCAGUGAUUCCCACACUUCAACCCCAGUUAAUACCUCUUAAAAACAACCCCAAAACUCUUGGGGAGACAUAGUUGAAGUUUCCUCUGGUCUCCUCAUUCAGCUGCCCUACAGGUAUUAAACUCUGUCUCUGCUGUAUCCCAAGUGUCUCAGUUUAUUGACUCACUGCACAUCGGGCAAAUGAACCUAUUAUGGUUACAAU